GGUUCCAUAGUGUAGCAGGUAGCACACCUGCUUUACAAGCAGAAGGUCCUAGCUUCACAUAUCAAUGAAGCCA
Molecule: transfer RNA, 73 nt
Filed under: Pteropus alecto (black flying fox)
Lineage: Eukaryota; Metazoa; Chordata; Mammalia; Chiroptera; Pteropodidae
Rfam family: tRNA
About the family: Transfer RNA (tRNA) molecules are approximately 80 nucleotides in length. Their secondary structure includes four short double-helical elements and three loops (D, anti-codon, and T loops). Further hydrogen bonds mediate the characteristic L-shaped molecular structure. tRNAs have two regions of fundamental functional importance: the anti-codon, which is responsible for specific mRNA codon recognition, and the 3' end, to which the tRNAs corresponding amino acid is attached (by aminoacyl-tRNA synthetases). tRNAs cope with the degeneracy of the genetic code in two manners: having more than one tRNA (with a specific anti-codon) for a particular amino acid; and 'wobble' base-pairing, i.e. permitting non-standard base-pairing at the 3rd anti-codon position.
Source: Rfam by way of RNAcentral